Molecule: ribosomal RNA, 1618 nt
Filed under: Salmonella enterica
Lineage: Bacteria; Pseudomonadati; Pseudomonadota; Gammaproteobacteria; Enterobacterales; Enterobacteriaceae
Also listed under: 3 other names
Description: partial 23S ribosomal RNA
Rfam family: Bacterial large subunit ribosomal RNA
Source: RNAcentral
GUUGGGUAGGGGAGCGUUCUGUAAGCCUGUGAAGGUGGCCUGUGAGGGUUGCUGGAGGUAUCAGAAGUGCGAAUGCUGACAUAAGUAACGAUAAAGCGGGUGAAAAGCCCGCUCGCCGGAAGACCAAGGGUUCCUGUCCAACGUUAAUCGGGGCAGGGUGAGUCGACCCCUAAGGCGAGGCCGAAAGGCGUAGUCGAUGGGAAACGGGUUAAUAUUCCCGUACUUGGUGUUACUGCGAAGGGGGGACGGAGAAGGCUAUGUUGGCCGGGCGACGGUUGUCCCGGUUUAAGCGUGUAGGUGUGUGUUCCAGGUAAAUCCGGUUCACUUUAACACUGAGGCGUGACGACGAGGCACUACGGUGCUGAAGCAACAAAUGCCCUGCUUCCAGGAAAAGCCUCUAAGCAUCAGGUAACAUCAAAUCGUACCCCAAACCGACACAGGUGGUCAGGUAGAGAAUACCAAGGCGCUUGAGAGAACUCGGGUGAAGGAACUAGGCAAAAUGGUGCCGUAACUUCGGGAGAAGGCACGCUGACACGUAGGUGAAGUGAUUUACUCAUGGAGCUGAAGUCAGUCGAAGAUACCAGCUGGCUGCAACUGUUUAUUAAAAACACAGCACUGUGCAAACACGAAAGUGGACGUAUACGGUGUGACGCCUGCCCGGUGCCGGAAGGUUAAUUGAUGGGGUCAGCGCAAGCGAAGCUCCUGAUCGAAGCCCCGGUAAACGGCGGCCGUAACUAUAACGGUCCUAAGGUAGCGAAAUUCCUUGUCGGGUAAGUUCCGACCUGCACGAAUGGCGUAAUGAUGGCCAGGCUGUCUCCACCCGAGACUCAGUGAAAUUGAACUCGCUGUGAAGAUGCAGUGUACCCGCGGCAAGACGGAAAGACCCCGUGAACCUUUACUAUAGCUUGACACUGAACAUUGAGCCUUGAUGUGUAGGAUAGGUGGGAGGCUUUGAAGUGUGGACGCCAGUCUGCAUGGAGCCGACCUUGAAAUACCACCCUUUAAUGUUUGAUGUUCUAACGUGGACCCGUGAUCCGGGUUGCGGACAGUGUCUGGUGGGUAGUUUGACUGGGGCGGUCUCCUCCUAAAGAGUAACGGAGGAGCACGAAGGUUGGCUAAUCCUGGUCGGACAUCAGGAGGUUAGUGCAAUGGCAUAAGCCAGCUUGACUGCGAGCGUGACGGCGCGAGCAGGUGCGAAAGCAGGUCAUAGUGAUCCGGUGGUUCUGAAUGGAAGGGCCAUCGCUCAACGGAUAAAAGGUACUCCGGGGAUAACAGGCUGAUACCGCCCAAGAGUUCAUAUCGACGGCGGUGUUUGGCACCUCGAUGUCGGCUCAUCACAUCCUGGGGCUGAAGUAGGUCCCAAGGGUAUGGCUGUUCGCCAUUUAAAGUGGUACGCGAGCUGGGUUUAGAACGUCGUGAGACAGUUCGGUCCCUAUCUGCCGUGGGCGCUGGAGAACUGAGGGGGGCUGCUCCUAGUACGAGAGGACCGGAGUGGACGCAUCACUGGUGUUCGGGUUGUCAUGCCAAUGGCACUGCCCGGUAGCUAAAUGCGGAAGAGAUAAGUGCUGAAAGCAUCUAAGCACGAAACUUGCCCCGAGAUGAGUUCUCCCUGAGACUU